UUCUUGGCAUGAUCAAGACUGGACUCUCUCCAUUCCCAGGCUCAUCCAUUGAUCCAUCAGGACUCGGUUCUGGGACAUUCCAUGGGUUUCCUUGGGGGAAUGCUGUGAUCCAUGUCCGUGUGCAUCCACCUGACAGGAAACUCAACGCUCCAGGUCCUGCACCUCCAACUGGCUGGCAUUGAUUUAGAUUCUGCAGAUCAGAGCCUUUCCCUGGGAAAAAAAAUUCCAUGGGUUAAAGAUUGCUUUUAAAAAAUGGCUCCGGGUUUAUACUAAUGGAAAUGUGAAUUAUUCAGCCCCAAAAGAGAGAGGAAAGCCCACGA
Molecule: non-coding RNA, 320 nt
Organism: Lonchura striata (white-rumped munia)
Lineage: Eukaryota; Metazoa; Chordata; Aves; Passeriformes; Estrildidae
Source: RefSeq, a predicted model, not a curated record